This 434-nucleotide ribosomal RNA is filed under the name uncultured bacterium. RNAcentral describes it as "bacterial SSU rRNA". It matches the Rfam family "Bacterial small subunit ribosomal RNA", at positions 355 to 787 of the family's 1533-position model. The record is from RNAcentral.
UGAGGAAUAUUGGUCAAUGGUCGGGAGACUGAACCAGCCAAGCCGCGUGAGGGAUGAAGGUACAGAGUAUCGUAAACCUCUUUUGUCAGGGAACAAAAGGCGCCACGCGUGGCGCUCCGAGUGUGCCUGAAGAAAAAGCAUCGGCUAACUCCGUGCCAGCAGCCGCGGUAAUACGGAGGAUGCGAGCGUUAUCCGGAUUUAUUGGGUUUAAAGGGUGCGUAGGCGGCGAGUUAAGUCAGCGGUAAAAGCCCGGGGCUCAACCCCGGCCCGCCGUUGAAACUGGCUUGCUUGAGUUGGAGAGAAGUAGGCGGAAUGCGCGGUGUAGCGGUGAAAUGCUUAGAUAUCGCGCAGAACUCCGAUUGCGAAGGCAGCCUACCGGCUCCAGACUGACGCUGAGGCACGAAAGCGUGGGUAUCGAACAGGAUUAGAUACCC